ACAAGCCGGCCUUCCCACUACCAUGUCCUUUGGGAUGACAAUCGUUUCUCUUCUGACGAGCUGCAGAUUCUAACCUACCAGCUGUGUCACACCUACGUGCGCUGUACGCGCUCUGUGUCCAUCCCGGCUCCAGCGUACUAUGCUCACUUGGUGGCCUUCCGGGCCAGGUACCACCUGGUGGAUAAAGAGCAUGACAGUGCUGAAGGAAGCCAUACCUCCGGGCAGAGCAAUGGGCGAGACCACCAAGCGCUGGCCAAGGCGGUCCAGGUCCAUCAGGACACGCUGCGCACCAUGUACUUUGCUUGAAGUGUUCUAGAGUUCAGCGAUUGUGCACCAAGUUGGAUUCACAUGAGACCAGCUACACUCAGACCAACAGAUGCCCAGCCCUUCUCUGACAGCCAGCAUCGAACAUGAGACGUCUUGGUUUAUUAGAUUCUCCAUUUUCCAGAAUGCCUUCCGUCCCGGAUUUCAAACUUGGAUUUUGAACUGCAGACCUGUAUGAGACCCCACUGUCGUAGGAAAUAUGGUUUGCCAAAAUCUAUAAGCUGCUUAUUGAAAUAGAGUCCCGUGUUUCCUAAAA
Long non-coding RNA from Nannospalax galili (Upper Galilee mountains blind mole rat), 580 nucleotides. RefSeq lists it as uncharacterized. The transcript has 2 exons. The record is from RefSeq and is a predicted model, not a curated record. NCBI's taxonomy places the organism in Eukaryota, Metazoa, Chordata, Mammalia, Rodentia, Spalacidae.